RNAcentral lists this ribosomal RNA (301 nucleotides) under uncultured bacterium. Its description in RNAcentral is "partial 16S ribosomal RNA". It matches the Rfam family "Bacterial small subunit ribosomal RNA", at positions 509 to 807 of the family's 1533-position model. The record is from RNAcentral.
CAGUAGCCGCGGUAAUACGGAGGGAGCUAGCGUUGUUCGGAAUUACUGGGCGUAAAGCGCACGUAGGCGGCUUUGUAAGUUAGAGGUGAAAGCCUGGAGCUCAACUCCAGAAUUGCCUUUAAGACUGCAUCGCUUGAAUCCGGGAGAGGUGAGUGGAAUUCCGAGUGUAGAGGUGAAAUUCGUAGAUAUUCGGAAGAACACCAGUGGCGAAGGCGGCCCACUGGACGACUGUUGACGCUGAGGUACGAAAGCGUGGGGAGCAAACAGGAUUAGAUACCCCCGUAGUCCCUGUCUCUUAUAC